Molecule: transfer RNA, 87 nt
Filed under: Colletotrichum caudatum
Lineage: Eukaryota; Fungi; Ascomycota; Sordariomycetes; Glomerellales; Glomerellaceae
Description: tRNA-Trp
Rfam family: tRNA
About the family: Transfer RNA (tRNA) molecules are approximately 80 nucleotides in length. Their secondary structure includes four short double-helical elements and three loops (D, anti-codon, and T loops).
Source: RNAcentral
GGCCCUCUGGCGCAACGGUAGCGCAUUCGACUCCAGCCAUCAGUUGAAGUCAUCGAAAGGUUAUCCGUUCGAAUCGGGUGGGGGUCA